This 494-nucleotide ribosomal RNA is filed under the name uncultured bacterium. Its description in RNAcentral is "partial 16S ribosomal RNA". It matches the Rfam family "Bacterial small subunit ribosomal RNA", at positions 28 to 507 of the family's 1533-position model. The record is from RNAcentral.
GACGAACGCUGGCGGCGUGCUUAACACAUGCCAGUCGAACGGUGACGCGCCUUCCUUUUUGGUGGGCGUGGAUGAGUGGCGAACGGGUGAGUAACACGUGAGUAACCUGCCCCUUUCUUCUGGAUAACCGCAUGAAACUGUGGCUAAUACGGGAUAUUCUGUGUCUGUCGCAUGAUGGGUUUGUGAAAGCUAUUGCUUCGGUGGGGGAUGGGCUCGCGGCCUCUCAGCUUGUUGGUGGGGUGAUGGCCUACCAAGGCGGUGACGGGUAGCCGGCAUGAGAGGGUGGGCGGUCACGCAGGUGAUGAGCCACGGACCAGACUCCUACGGGAGGCAGCAGGGGGGAUUAUUGCACAAUGGGCGCAAGCCUGAUGCAGCGACGCCGCGUGAGAGAUGGAGGCCUUCGGGUUGUGAACCUCUUUCGCGAGUGAAGCAGGCCUGCCUCGUAUGUGGGUGGGUUGACGGUAGCUGGAUAAGAAGCGCCGGCUAACUACGUG